Long non-coding RNA from Suricata suricatta (meerkat), 579 nucleotides. RefSeq lists it as uncharacterized. The record is from RefSeq and is a predicted model, not a curated record. Lineage: Eukaryota; Metazoa; Chordata; Mammalia; Carnivora; Herpestidae. The transcript is spliced from 3 exons.
UGUGCAAAGCCUGCCAGGCUCGCGUCAGCCCCUCUCCCCUAUUUUGCGCCGCCUCCACUUCCUGGGCCGGGUCUGCCUGCGGACCGGCAUCAAAGAUGUAGGGAAAGGGGCUUUGAUGUCCUGCGGCAGCUUCGCGCCGCUUGGGGCGUCGCCGUGUGUGUGGACGGCCAGCGGAGCCGGAGAGGAGGGACGGGACCCCUACGGCCCCCACGGCGGGCCGCACAGGCCGCAGGGACCCAAGGACGGGAGCUCCCUCAGGACAAAACCCACGCAGGGAACAGGAAGGGCGAUGUGCGAAGGGCUGAGCUAUUCAGUCACUGCGUAACUGCCAGAAAAAUCCCAGCUUUUCUCUUUCAAGAAAAAGAAAAGAUUGUGGCCAACCAGUUCAAAAGGUGAGGGUCUGAGCAUGGGGUACAAUUUGUAUGGGUCACUCCCAGGAGCAGCCUACAUCACUGAUGCUGUGCUUCCAUCCUUGGCACCUCCAGCCAUGAAGGAGUUUGGCAGAAGUGGAUUCCCACCCUCGGGGAUGACUUUGGGGUUUGGGACGUCCGUGGAGGCAGUCACGGUGGAUGUGGUGGA